Vicugna pacos (alpaca) is the source of this 175-nucleotide non-coding RNA. Lineage: Eukaryota; Metazoa; Chordata; Mammalia; Artiodactyla; Camelidae. The record is from RefSeq and is a predicted model, not a curated record.
CAAGUGCUGUGAAGAUGUGGAGAAAAGGGAACCCUCGUGCCCUGCUGGUGUGAAUGCAAAUUAGUGCAGCGAUUAUGGAAACAACAGUAUGGAGGUUCCUCAAAAAAUUAAAAACAGAACUACAGUAUGAUCCAGCAAUUUCACUUCCAGCUAUAAAACCAAAAAGAAAUGAAAG